UCCUCCCCAGGGGCAGGCUGCCCGCCACUUUGCUUUGAUAGCCUGGUCCGGGAGGCAAGUCCGCAGUCCCGCAGCUCCUCCGGCGCUGCACGCAUUCUUCCCGGCCAAGAAGGAACGCGGCGAGCUAACGGGAUCCAGAUGGCCCGGCCAUGCUAAGCAGAAGGAAAAGGACUGGCAAUGUGUGUUUGGGUCCCUGCUGCAGGAACUAGAGGCUGGGAGGAAAGUUUGGGCAGGCAAAUCUGGAUGCAUCCUUGGACAUAUUCCAUUAAGAGCGGUGCCACUCAACCUAUGGCGAUUAGAUGGCAGAGCCAGUGAUGAAGACUCUGGAGCCAUACCACCUGGGUUCUAAGCCCAGCUUUAUCUACUAGCUAUGUGACCCUCAGCAAGUCACUUCAC
Long non-coding RNA from Homo sapiens (human), 396 nucleotides. RefSeq lists it as uncharacterized. The transcript is spliced from 3 exons. Lineage: Eukaryota; Metazoa; Chordata; Mammalia; Primates; Hominidae. The record is from RefSeq and is a predicted model, not a curated record.